GUGGGGAAUUUUGGACAAUGGGCGCAAGCCUGAUCCAGCAAUGCCGCGUGCAGGAAGAAGGCCUUCGGGUUGUAAACUGCUUUUGUACGGAACGAAACGGUCCUGGUUAAUACCUGGGGCUAAUGACGGUACCGUAAGAAUAAGCACCGGCUAACUACGUGCCAGCAGCCGCGGUAAUACGUAGGGUGCGAGCGUUAAUCGGAAUUACUGGGCGUAAAGCGUGCGCAGGCGGUGCUGUAAGACAGGCGUGAAAUCCCCGGGCUCAACCUGGGAAUUGCGAUUGUGACUGCAGUGCUGGAGUGCGGCAGAGGGGGAUGGAAUUCCGCGUGUAGCAGUGAAAUGCGUAGAUAUGCGGAGGAACACCGAUGGCGAAGGCAAUCCCCUGGGCCUGCACUGACGCUCAUGCACGAAAGCGUGGGGAGCAAACAGGAUUAGAAACCCGGGUAGUCC
Molecule: ribosomal RNA, 450 nt
Filed under: uncultured bacterium
Lineage: Bacteria
Description: partial 16S ribosomal RNA
Rfam family: Bacterial small subunit ribosomal RNA
Source: RNAcentral